RNAcentral lists this long non-coding RNA (1493 nucleotides) under Sorghum bicolor (sorghum). RNAcentral's name for it is "long non-coding RNA (SBIC_LNC010821)". Lineage: Eukaryota; Viridiplantae; Streptophyta; Magnoliopsida; Poales; Poaceae. The record is from RNAcentral.
GUUAGUCAGAUGCACGCUUUCUCCCAGUGGUAAAAAUAUAAAUACGAUACUCUGGAUAACCUCCCGGGUGAAGUGCUCACCGAUAUCUGUGCACUUGUAGAUCAUUUCUUGAUGGCGUUAACAAAUAUCAACAGUCACUCUUGGUGUGCACAUAAGUGAAGACGCAAACAUAUUAGAGUUACAACUUAAAUUGAUUAACUCAAUAUGGUUUGCUCUUUAAAAUUGUUCAUGGUACCAUUCUCUUAAUCUCAGUCUUAACUAAACAAGUUAAAACAUUAUAUUCAAUCUUGGAAAGAUGAUAGUCAUACUUAUUUAAAAAUUUAUAUAUAGAGAUAGACAAUCCUCCCAUUGCUUACCGCAAUUUCAUUCUUUUCUGUCAUGUGAACUUAAAUGCAACAUUAAAUGCUUAAUCUUUUGAUUUUACCACUCAUAAAUUAAUAAAUCAUGUAACACAACUUUAUCUUGUUUAAUGUGUCUAAGGAUGGAGAAAAAUAAAUAAAGAAAUAGAUUUGGUUCUGUUGGUGUUUUUCCACCAGUAGAGUCCAUGCACUUGAUCUCUACCUUAGUUUUGCAAAUAGAACAAUACAUCAAGCAAAGUUUAUUAAUUCUACAAGUGAAAGCUCUGUGAACAUGCACACUGAGCAAGAUGCUGCCAGCUACUAUUAAAACUCUCCUUCAACCUACUGGCAAAAUCAAAGAACAAAGGUGACAUCAUCAUCACUAGAGGUAUGCAACUAACAAGACUUUCCUCUCUCAAGAUGGAGAGAUACACAAGAGUGGAAGAAGAAGUCCUUCGGUAAAUUUUUAAAAUUUUAUAUUCUUGCCAUAAGGUAAUAUGGUAGUUAUAUAUUUAAUUAGUAUUUCUAUCUACAUUAAUAAAUUUACCUUAACAUAUUCAUCUUCAUAAAUAUUAAAAAUAAAAUAAAAUAAAAUAAAAAUCUUUAUUCCUUCAUUUACUACAUCAUAAAAUAUUUAAAGCCCCACGUGAAUAAAUUUAUGAUAACCAUAUAAGAAUAUUUACUGGGGUGGCAUAAAUAAUAAUAGCUCAUGUAUUUACUUUCUUGCAGUAUGAAAAAAAACCUAAGCCCCAUAAGAAUAAACAUUCUCUGUGGAGGCAUAAAAAUACAACUAUAUAUAUCAUGCACACAUAUUUAAUUUCUAUAUAAUUAAACAAGAAAAUCUUAAAAAAAGAGAAUCCUGCUAGAAUCUAUCAAUUCAAAUCAACUCAAAGAAAAAUCAAUCACUUACUAGCUGACCGCUAACCCAUUAUUAAAUUUGAGCUUCGAGUUUUGGUUUUCUUUUUGGAGUGUAAUUAUGCAGGAACAAUAUUAUGACAAGGAGAGAGUCUAUUAGUGGCACCCACCUGGAACGCUGCCGGUUAGCUCACUCUAAAGAUCAUCAACACCAACUAUUGCAAAAGCUUGGGGGAGGAGCAUCCCCUAGUUAUCAAGUAACUAUACCUAGGCGAUUAUCGAGUGAAAGAUCUAGGCCCA